UAAAAUUUGCCUAUAAUAAUAGCUAUCUUUCUAGUAUUAAGAUGGUACCUUAUGAAGCUUUUUAUGGAAGGAAGUGCAGAUCUCCUCUGUAUUGAGAUAAUGUUGGACAAAAGUAGUUAUUGGGUCCUGAGUUAGUCCAAAAUGUCAAACAGAAAAUUACAGUGAUCAAGAAAAGACUUAAGGCAGCUCAAGAUAAACAAAAGAGUUGGGCAGAAAAGAAAGAGAGAUGAAAUUUUUAGAGGGUGACUUUUUCUUCUUGAAGGUUUUACUCUCAAAAAGUGUCAUGAGAUUUGGGAGACCUAGUAAACCGAGUCCUCGCUACAUUGGGCCCUUUGAGAUUUUGGAUGGAGUGGAAGAGGUUGUUUAUAGUUUAGCUUUGCUGCUAGAGCUAUUUAGUGUACACAAUAUCUUCCAUAUUUUUUUUAUUGAGAAAGUACAUUCUAAAUCUGAAUAUUCAGGGUGUAAAGCAUGCUGUCAUUAUCUGAUUUCGAAUUCAUGCGUAUAACCAUAAACAUUUCUAACUUUUGAGUUCAUGAUGUACUUUGGCCAGAUCUUGGGAUCAAAGCAUGGUUGGAUCAUCAUAAGCACCCGGUGUUUGGGUUCCCAACAUUGGUUCGCUUCAGUUGGGGGACAUGCAACCCCUACUUCAAGGAUACAGUUGAAGUCAUCUGGGAGUCUGAUAAGCUGAAUGAGGAUGGCUCUAAUGAUAAUGGUGGUAAGCGGCAGUUGAAGUUGUCUAAUGUUGGUUUCACUGGAUAUAAAAAGAAAAGUGAGGAUAUUGAAUAUAGUGGUAAGGGUCGCUGUAAGUUCUUCCAGGCUCUUGAACUUGAGUUGGUUGCUAAUUUCUAGCAAUGCUGUCGACCCUGCCCUGUGGCACAUUAACAUCUGGGCUUUAAUUUGGCUUAGGCUUUCGAAUGUAAUUGCAAUCCAAGAUUCCAUGUCAUGUUUGGCAGAUAUUAUAUGAACAAGUUUUCAAUUCUUGUUUGAGGUUGGAA
Molecule: non-coding RNA, 995 nt
Organism: Phoenix dactylifera (date palm)
Lineage: Eukaryota; Viridiplantae; Streptophyta; Magnoliopsida; Arecales; Arecaceae
Source: RefSeq, a predicted model, not a curated record